UCCGGUUGAUCCUGCCAGACCCGACCGCUAUCGGGGUAGGGCUAAGCCAUGGGAGUCGAACGCCCCGCCGCUGCGGGGCGUGGCGUACGGCUGAGUAACACGUGGCUAACCUACCCUCGGGACGGGGAUAACCCCGGGAAACUGGGGCUAAUCCCCGAUAGGGGAGGAGGCCUGGAAGGGUUCCUCCCCGAGAGGGGCCACCGGGGGAUAUCGCCGGUGGUCCGCCCGAGGAUGGGGCUGCGGCCCAUCAUGGUAGUUGGCGGGGCAAUGGCCCGCCAAGCCUACGACGGGUAGGGGCCGUGAGAGCGGGAGCCCCCAGAUUCGCACUGAGACAAGGGCCCAGGCCCUACGGGGCGCACCAGGCGCGAAAACUCCGCAAUGCGGGCAACCGUGACGGGGCUACCCCGAGUGCCCCCCUUGAGGGGGCUUUUCCCCGCUGUAGGUAGGCGGGGGAAUAAGCGGGGGGCAAGACUGGUGUCAGCCGCCGCGGUAAUACCAGCCCCGCGAGCGGUCGGGGUGUUUACUGGGUCUAAAGCGUCCGUAGCCGGCUCGGCAAGU
Molecule: ribosomal RNA, 558 nt
Filed under: uncultured archaeon
Lineage: Archaea
Description: bacterial SSU rRNA
Rfam family: Archaeal small subunit ribosomal RNA
Source: RNAcentral